RNAcentral lists this ribosomal RNA (460 nucleotides) under NC10 bacterium enrichment culture. RNAcentral's name for it is "bacterial SSU rRNA". It matches the Rfam family "Bacterial small subunit ribosomal RNA", at positions 977 to 1434 of the family's 1533-position model. Lineage: Bacteria; Methylomirabilota (SeqCode). The record is from RNAcentral.
GGGCUUGACAUCCCACGAACCUGCCCGAAAAGGUGGGGUGCCCGCAAGGGAGCGUGGAGACAGGUGAUGCAUGGCUGUCGUCAGCUCGUGUCGUGAGAUGUUGGGUUAAGUCCCGCAACGAGCGCAACCCUCACCCCUAGUUGCCACCGGGUUAAGCCGAGCACUCAAGGGGAACUGCCAGCGUCAAGCUGGAGGAAGGCGGGGAUGACGUCAAGUCAUCAUGCCCCUUACGCCCUGGGCUACACACGUGCUACAAUGGCCAGUACAAAGGGACGUGAGACUGCGAAGUGGAGCUAAUCCCAAAAAGCUGGUCUAAGUUCAGAUUGCAGUCUGCAACUCGACUGCAUGAAGGAGGAAUCGCUAGUAAUCGCGUAUCAGCCCGGCGCGGUGAAUACGUUCCCGGGCCUUGUACACACCGCCCGUCACACCACGAAAGCUGUCUGUACUCGAAGUCGCUGAG